CAUAGAGAUUUUCACAUAUACACAUGUAUGCGCACAAUGACGUGGGCUCAUCAGACCCAGAGAGGUAAGGCCCAGGACACACGUGUGCAAACACAGCUCUGUCAACUACAUCAGAUGCAUGCAUAAGCACUCUCACACAAACACCCCUGUUGCAAACCAAGAUCUACACUUAGAGACUGCACUACAGCAAAACACGUGCUCAUGCACACACACACACACACACACACCUGCGUGCACACCCACGGGCGCCCACCACCUGCCUCCCAGAGGCUCCAUCUGCAGCCGAGAGGCUCGGCAUCUCCCCGGGGAACAUCCUGAGAUGUAGCCUAUUUUUAGAGCUAUUGCCGGCUGGUGCUUCUCCUCGUUUUUGGCUUCUUAAGUUUUCCAGAGAAAACAGCAGCAGGUGCCGACAGAGCUGUGUCCCCGAUGGAUGACUCAGAAUCGUGGCCCAGACCCACUGGGUUAUUUUUGAAGUCCUGUGAGCAUGCAGCAUGCUGGCACCUCUAUACUCUGUCCUUCCCUCCUGCAUUGCCCCUAGAAUGAAUGGCCCGGGUCUGGCUGGGCGAGGGGUAGCAGCCUGAGGGUGGCAGGCCCAUAAGACAGGCUCUACAGAAUACUGGAUGCUCAGAGCUGGGGGCAGGAAGGCUGGAGUCAGGGGACUCUGACUCCGGGGGAAGCUCCCAGAAGCUGGCUCUGGGAAGGUGAUCUUUUAUGGUUUUGUUAACUUGCCCGUUCUCUGGCUCUCUCUCUCCAUCUCUGCUGGUCUCUGUUGCCUUUUUCUGAAUGUCUCUUUCUAGUUUUUGCAUGCCCAGAUCUGGUGUUCUCCUCUCCAAAAUAUUCUCCUAUGUCCUCAGGGUUCCAGAAGGAGCCAGAGACCUACAGCAUCUCCUUAACUCUCUCUGGACCACUGCAACCUCUUAACUCCUGGACUAUAGCCCAGGACCUUCACCCGCCUUCACAGAGUGACUGGUUGACCCCAGAGAAGUGGGGGUGGGAAGUGUUUCUCUCACGGGCACUUUCCUUUAUGCCCACACCCACCUGCCCAGGGUUUCCUCUUGGCAGCCUGAAUCUUGUGUCCCAUUGUUCACCUGAGGAAAAGGGAAACUGAAGCAGAAUGGAGGUGCUAUAUUUCUGGUCUGCCCAGAAGGCUGGUGUGGGCCAGGGGCUUCCAAGCUUCACUCCAGGACGGGCUCAGAUACCUUGCUGCAGGCACCCAGACAUCCUUCUUUCAGCAAUUUUAUCAGCAUGCUGGAGUGCUGGGAACUCAGGUGAGAGGAGCCGAUGAACCUUGCCAUCUCAGGUGAAGCCCCAGUUGCCCUGGCAGCCCACUCAGGUCAACUUGCAAAAGCCUGUGCUCCCAUUCAGGCACCUCUUGUCUCCAUUACAUGCUGUCUUUAAGCCAAAUUUAUUUCAUUGCUCUGGAGUUUAUUCUUUGGUCUUGCUGCCAUCAGUGGCUUCUAGAUUU
This is a non-coding RNA of Manis javanica (Malayan pangolin), 1465 nucleotides long. The record is from RefSeq and is a predicted model, not a curated record. NCBI's taxonomy places the organism in Eukaryota, Metazoa, Chordata, Mammalia, Pholidota, Manidae.